UUGACCUCGAAUCAGGUAGGAAUACCCGCUGAACUUAAGCAUAUCAAUAAGCGGAGGAAAAGAAACCAACAGGGAUUGCCCCAGUAACGGCGAGUGAAGCGGCAACAGCUCAAAUUUGAAAUCUGGCCCCCCGGGGCCCGAGUUGUUAUUUGCAUAGGAUGCUUUUGGCGAGGCGCCUUCCGAGUUCCCUGGAACGGGACGCCACAGAGGGUGAGAGCCCCGUCUGGUCAGACGCCUAACCUAUGUAAAGCUCCCUCGACGAGUCGAGUAGUUUGGGAAUGCUGCUCUAAAUGGGAGGUAUAUGUCUUCUAAAGCUAAAUACCGGCCAGAGACCGAUAGCGCACAAGUAGAGUGAUCGAAAGAUGAAAAGCACUUUGAAAAGAGGGUUAAACAGUACGUGAAAUUGUUGAAAGGGAAGCGCUUGUGACCAGACUUGGGCCCGGCGGAUCACCCAGCGUUCUCGCUGGUGCACUCCGGCGGGCCCAGGCCAGCAUCAGCUCGUCCCGGGGGACAAAGGCGGCGGGAAUGUGGCUCCUCCGGGAAUGUUAUAGCCCGCCGCGCAAUGCCCUGGGGCGGGCUGAGGACCGCGCAUCUGCAUGGAUGCUGGCGUAAUGGUCACCAGCGACCCGUCUUGAAACACGGACCAA
This 647-nucleotide ribosomal RNA is filed under the name Claviceps viridis. RNAcentral's name for it is "eukaryotic LSU rRNA". It matches the Rfam family "Eukaryotic large subunit ribosomal RNA", at positions 1 to 669 of the family's 3401-position model. The record is from RNAcentral. Lineage: Eukaryota; Fungi; Ascomycota; Sordariomycetes; Hypocreales; Clavicipitaceae.